This 472-nucleotide ribosomal RNA is filed under the name Bacillus thuringiensis. Its description in RNAcentral is "bacterial SSU rRNA". It matches the Rfam family "Bacterial small subunit ribosomal RNA", at positions 921 to 1401 of the family's 1533-position model. Lineage: Bacteria; Bacillati; Bacillota; Bacilli; Caryophanales; Bacillaceae. The record is from RNAcentral.
UCGCCCAGCGGUGGACAUGUGGUUUAUUCGAAGCACGCGAAGAACCUUACCAGGUCUUGACAUCCUCAGACAACCCAUGAGAAUGGGCUUCUCCUUCGGGAGCAGAGUGACAGGUGGUGCAUGGUUGUCGUCAGCUCGUGUCGUGAGAUGUUGGGUUAAGUCCCGCAACGAGCGCAACCCUUUGUCUUUGUUGCCAUCAUUUAGUUGGGCACUCCAAGGUGACUGCCGGGUGCAAACCGGAGGAAGGUGGGGAGUGCGUCAAAUCAUCAUGCCCCUUAUGACCUGGGCUACACACGUGCUACAAUGGACGGUACAAAGAGCUGCAAGACCGCGAGGUGGAGCUAAUCUCAUAAAACCGUUCUCACUUCGGAUUGUAGGCUGCAACUCGCCUACACGAAGCUGGAAUCGCGUAAAAUCAAUCAGCAUGCCGCGGUUAAUACGUUCCCGGGCCUUGUAUACAACGGCCGUAUUG